RNAcentral lists this ribosomal RNA (301 nucleotides) under uncultured bacterium. RNAcentral's name for it is "partial 16S ribosomal RNA". It matches the Rfam family "Bacterial small subunit ribosomal RNA", at positions 509 to 809 of the family's 1533-position model. The record is from RNAcentral.
CAGCAGCCGCGGGAAUACAGAGGGUGCGAGCGUUAAUCGGAUUUACUGGGCGUAAAGCGUGCGUAGGCGGCUUCUUAAGUCGGAUGUGAAAUCCCUGAGCUUAACUUAGGAAUUGCAUUCGAUACUGGGAAGCUAGAGUAUGGGAGAGGAUGGUAGAAUUCCAGGUGUAGCGGUGAAAUGCGUAGAGAUCUGGAGGAAUACCAAUGGCGAAGGCAGCCAUCUGGCCUAAUACUGACGCUGAGGUACGAAAGCAUGGGGAGCAAACAGGAUUAGAUACCCCUGUAGUCCCUGUCUCUUAUCA